This 250-nucleotide ribosomal RNA is filed under the name uncultured prokaryote. Its description in RNAcentral is "partial 16S ribosomal RNA". It matches the Rfam family "Bacterial small subunit ribosomal RNA", at positions 524 to 773 of the family's 1533-position model. The record is from RNAcentral.
UACAUAGGGGGCAAGCGUUAUCCGGAAUUAUUGGGUGUAAAGGGUGCGUAGACGGAGAAUUAAGUUAGUAGUGAAAUCCCCAGGCUUAACUUGGGAAUUGCUGCUAAGACUGGUUUUCUUGAGUACUGGAGAGGAAAGUGGAAUUCCUAGUGUAGCGGUGAAAUGCGUAGAUAUUAGGAGGAACACCAGUGGCGAAGGCGACUUUCUGGACAGAAACUGGCGUUGAGGCACGAAAGUGUGGGGAGCAAAC